UUUUAUGUUUUGUAAACAAAAUGAGUUUAAAUGAAAAUAUUUUAUAAAUUGUCUUGAAACGAAAUAACGAUUUUGAAAAUAGAGUAAUUGGAGACCACUGAUAUGUUGUAAAUUUAAAAUUGAAUUAAUGGCUUAUGUUAUUGUAUUGGCAUGACUGGCUGGGCUGGGUUUUUAUGAAUUAUAUGAAUUGCUUUAUUUUACCCUUGCAGGCUGGGUAGUAAUAUAUUAGCCCUGUCAUGCUGUCAAAAUUUUAUUGUAUGGUGGGUUUGACCUGCUGCAGUGGGCUGGAUUCUGUGGACUAGCCUAUUAGAGGGGCACGGAAUCCUGUUAUAUUUUUACCUCGGUUGGAGAGGCGAGUAGGGUAACUCCCGAGGUAUAACUUUUAGAGUUCACUUCACGCCAAACCACCACGUGAAGGGGAACUCGGCCAACGCCAAGGAACGGCUAUGUUUUCAAAAUAAAAACAUGACUUUCUAAUAGCCUUGGCGGACUCAGUUGGGAUAGCCCUCGGCCAAGGUAUCCCA
Molecule: long non-coding RNA, 524 nt
Filed under: Theobroma cacao (cacao)
Lineage: Eukaryota; Viridiplantae; Streptophyta; Magnoliopsida; Malvales; Malvaceae
Description: long non-coding RNA (TCAC_LNC000934)
Source: RNAcentral